RNAcentral lists this ribosomal RNA (497 nucleotides) under uncultured bacterium. RNAcentral's name for it is "partial 16S ribosomal RNA". It matches the Rfam family "Bacterial small subunit ribosomal RNA", at positions 28 to 507 of the family's 1533-position model. The record is from RNAcentral.
GAUGAACGCUGGCGGCGUGCCUAAUACAUGCAAGUCGAGCGAACAGACGAGAAGCUUGCUCCUCUGACGUUAGCGGCGGACGGGUGAGUAACGCGUGGAUAACCUACCUCUAAGUCUGGGGUAACUUCGGGAAACCGGAGACACUACCGGCUAAUACAUCGAACCGCUUGAUUCAAUAGUUCAAGACAGCUUUGCUGUCACUUAUAGCUGGUUCCGCGCCGCAUUAGCUAGUUGGUAAGGUAACGGCUUACCAAGGCAACGAUGCGUAGCCGACCUGAGAGGGUGAUCAGCCACACUGGAACUGAGACACGGUCCAGACUCCUACGGGAGGCAGCAGUAGGGAAUCUUCCACAAAGGGCGAAAGCCUGACGCAGCAACGCCGCGUGAGUGAAGAAGGUCUUCGGAUCGUAAAGCUCUGUUAUUAGGGAAGAACAAAUGUGUGUGUAACUAUGCACGUCUUGACGGUACCUAAUCAGUAAGCCACGGCUAACUACGUG